UUUUGGUAUCAAUUUAUCAUAUUCAUUAUAUUUUUUAAACUUAUUCUUAUAAUAUAUGGGUUUUCUUGUUUCUGUUGUUUUAGGUAUUAUAUUUUCAUUUUCUUUUUUAUCAAGAGUAUUUAUUUCUGUGUGGGUAUUUUCUAAGUUUUCCUCAUUAAUUUCUUUUUGUUCUUCAUUGAUUUCUAAAUUUUUUGUAUUUGUUAAUAUUUCUGUAUAUGUUUCACUAUCUUCGGACUCAUAAUUAUCUGUCUCUUCAAUAUCUAUAUUAUUUAUUUCUAAUUCUUCAUUUUUUAUUUCUAAUUUUUCCUUAAAUUGAUUUAUCUCGUUUAGUAAUUUCUGUUCUCUAUC
RNAcentral lists this long non-coding RNA (348 nucleotides) under Capsicum annuum. RNAcentral describes it as "long non-coding RNA (CANN_LNC013698)". The record is from RNAcentral. Lineage: Eukaryota; Viridiplantae; Streptophyta; Magnoliopsida; Solanales; Solanaceae.